This 5059-nucleotide long non-coding RNA is filed under the name Malus domestica (apple). RNAcentral describes it as "long non-coding RNA (MDOM_LNC011202)". The record is from RNAcentral. Lineage: Eukaryota; Viridiplantae; Streptophyta; Magnoliopsida; Rosales; Rosaceae.
UAAGAUCAAGAAGUCAGCAUAGCGCUCAAUGCCACAUCCACAUAUUUCACUCACCGGCCGAGCUCAGCCAUCAUGUUGGCACGCCUCGCACACAGCUGAAAGACGUAGUUAGCUCAUUAGUUACUCGGCCAGCGCGCCACGUAAGCUUGGUAGUUUUUAGGGUCAACAACUCCAAAUACAAAAAUAGUGUACUUUUGACACCAAAGAAGCUUUUGAUCUUUUGAGGACACUUUACUAAUGUCCUAGUAGCAUAUUAUGUGUGUUUAUUUGCUUUAGUUCAAAAGCCUGACAAAUGCAAGUUCGUCAUAUCCCAUGAAUGUUUAAAAAGGUGCAAAUACACUCCAAAUACAAAAAUAGCAUAUUUUUUUACACCAAAUAAGCAUUUGAUAUUUUGGGAACUCAUUAUUAAUGUCUUAGUACCGUAUUAUACUUGUUUAUUUGCUUAAGUUCGAAAGCGUCACAAAUGCAUGCUUGUUAUGUCCCACGAAUGCUUCAAACAGUGCAAAUACACUCCAAAUACAAAAAUAUUGUUUUUUUUACACCAAAGAAGCUUUUGAUAUUUUGAAAACACAUUAUUAAUGUCUUAGUAGUGUAUUAUAUGUGUUUAUUUGUUUAAGUUCGAAAGCUUGACAGAUAUACGCUCGUUAUAUCCCACGAAUACUUAAAACGGUGCAAAUAGACUCCAAAUACAAAAACAGUGUAUUUUUUACACCAAAUAAGCAUUUGAUCUUUUGAGACUUCAUUAUUAAUGUCUUAGUAGCGUAUUAUAUGUGUUUAUUUGUUUAAUCCAAAGCGUGACAAACCCACGCUCUUUAUGUCCCACAAAUGCUUAAAACGGUGCAAAUACACUACAAAUACAAAAAUAGCAUACUUUGACACCAAAAAUGAAUUUGAUCAUUUGAUAACUCACAAUUAAUGUCUUAGUACCAUAUUAUAUGUGUUUACUUGCUUAAAUUCCACAGUGUGUCAAACGCACGCUUGUUUUAUCACACGAAUGCUUAAAAAGGUGGAAAUGUACUCCAAACACAAAAAUAGUGUACUUUUGACACCAAAUAAGAAUUUCAUCUUUUGAGAACUCAUUAUUAAUGUCUUAAUAACGUAUUAUAUGUGCUUAUUUUCUAAGUUCCAAAGCGUGACAAAUGCACGCUCGUUAUAUCCCAGAAAUGUUUAAAACACUGCAAAUACAAAAGUAGUGCAGUUUUGUCACCAAAUAAGCAUUUGAUCUUUUAAGAACACAUUAUUAAUGUCUUAGAAGCGUAUUAUAUGUGUUUAUUUGCUUAAGCUCCAAAGUGUGUCAAACGCACGCUAGUUUUAUUCCCACGAAUGCUUAAAAUAGUGCAAAUACAAUCAAAAUACAUAAAUAGUGUAAUUUUGACACCAAAUAAGCAUUUGAUCUAUUGACAACUCAUUAUUAAUAUCUUAGUAGUGUAUUCUAUGUGUUUAUUUGCUUAAACUCCAAAGCGUGUCAAACGCACACUCAUUUUAUCCCACGAAUACUUAAAAUAGUGUAAAUACAUUCCAAAUACAAAAAAAGUGUACUUUUGACACCAAAUAUUAUUUGAUCAUUUGAGAACACAUUAUUAAUGUCUUAGUAGCAUAAAUUAUGUGUUUAUUUGCUUAAGUUCCAAAGCGUGUCAAAUGAACGCUCGUUAUAUCCCAUGAAUGCAUAAAACAGUGUAAAUACACUCCAAAUGGUAAAAUAGUGUACUUUUGACACUAAAAAAGCAUUUGGUCAUUUGAGAACUCAUUAUUAAUGUCGUAGUACUGUAUUAUAUGUGUUUACUUGCUUAAGUUCGAAAGCUUGACAAAUGCACGUUCGUUAUAUCCCACGAAUGCUUAAAAUGGUUCAAAUACACUCCAAAUUCAAAAAUAGUGUAUUUUUGAAACCAAUUAAGCAUUUGAUCUUUUGAGAACUCAUUAUUAAUGUCUUGGUAGCAUAUUAUAUGUGUUUAUUUUCUUAAGUUCCAAAGCGUGUCAAAUGCACGCUCGGUAUAUCCCACGAAUGCUUAAAACUGAGCAAAAACACUCCCAAUUGAAGAAUAGUGUACUUUUGACAAUAAAGUGUUUAUUUGCUUAAGUUUGAAAGCUUGACAAAUUCACGUUCGUUAUAUCCCACGAAUGCUUAAAACAGUGCAAAUACACUCCAAUUACAAAAAUAGCAUAUUUUGGACACCAAAUAAGCAUUUGAUCUUUUGAGAUCUCAUUAUUAAUGUCUUAGUACCAUAUUACAUGUGUUUAUUUGUUUAAGUUUCAAAGUGUGACAAACGAACGCUCUUUAUGUCCCACGAAUGCUUAAAACAGUGCAAAUACACUCCAAAUACAAAAAUAGCGUACUUGUGACAUCAAAAAUGCAUUUGAUCAUUUGAGAGCUCAUUAUUAAUGUCUUAGUACCGUAUUAUAUGUGUUUACCUACUUAAGCUCCAAAGUGUGUCAAACGCACGCUCGUUUUAUCACACGAAUGCUUAAAACGGUGCAAAUGUGAACCAAAUACAAAAAUAGUGCACUUUUGACACGAAAUAAGUAUUUCAUCUUUUGAGAACUCAUUAUUAAUGUCUUAGUAGCAUAUUAUAUGUGCUUAUUAGCUAAAUUUCAAAAGCGUGACAAACGCACGCUCGUUAUAUCCCAUAAAUGCUUAAAACACUGUAAAUACACUUGACACCAAAUAACCAUUUGAUCUUUUGAGAACACGUUAUUAAUGUCUUAGAAGCGUACUAUAUGUGUUUAUUUCUUAAGCUCCCAACCGUGUCAAACGCAUGCUCAUUUUAUCCCACGAAUGCUUAAAACGGUGCAAAUGUGAACCAAAUACAAAAAUAGUGCACUUUUGACACGAAAUAAGUAUUUCAUCUUUUGAGAACUCAUUAUUAAUGUCUUAGUAGCAUAUUAUAUGUGCUUAUUAGCUAAAUUUCAAAAGCGUGACAAACGCACGCUCGUUAUAUCCCAUAAAUGCUUAAAACACUGUAAAUACACUUGACACCAAAUAACCAUUUGAUCGUUUGAGAACACAUUAUUAAUGUCUUAGAAGCGUAUUAUAUGUGUUUAUUUGCUUAAGCUCCAAACCGUGUCAAACGCACGCUCGUUUUAUCCCACGAAUGCUUAAAACAGUGCAAAUACAAUCCAAAUACAAAAUUAGUGUAAUUUUGACACCAACUAAGCAUUUGAUCUAUUGAAAACUCAUUAUUAAUCUGUUAGUAGCAUAUUAUAUGUGUUUAUUUGCUUUAACUCCAAAGCGUGUCAAACGCACGCUCAUUUUAUCCCACGAAUGCUUAAAACAAUGCAAAUACACUCCAAAUACAAAAAUAGUGUAUUUUUGACACCAAAGAAGCUUUUGAUCAUUUGAGAACACAUUAUUAAUGUCUUACUAGCAUAUUAUAUGUUUUUAUUUGCGUAAGUUCGAAAGCUUGACAAAUGCGCGUUCGUUAUAUCCCACGAAUACUUUAGGAACUGACAGAUUAGAAAUCUUACGUACGGAUCUUCCCAGAUGGGUUUUCUAAAUUUGUAAAUCUAAAUGUCGGCCGCCACUUAUUAUUGGCAAUUGGCGGAGAUCUGACCGUUGAAUCGUUUCGAAACUUUAGGAUGUUGUUCUAGAAGCUUAUUGAAACUCUUGGGAAGUUACGCAUCGAAAAUCCGAGGUGCGGAUCUUCCGUAUCAAAUUAAUUUUGAUUAUGGAUCCUACCAUCGAUCUUUGACCGACGGUUGACUUUUGAUCAAUGGGUUACAAAUCAUCCUAAAGCGUCCUUGGGGAUCUGUUUUAUGUAAGUUAUGUGUUCUAUCGAUAAGAAUUCUGAGAUGUGAUUUGAUAUUUGUUCUAGGCGACGAUCGUUCGUGGGGCCUCAAUAUUCGUGCUAGGGAGUUGUAGCAUAAACUUCAGGUGAGUGGGUCUUUUCCUUUUUAUAGUAUAUAUAUGUGAUUGAUAGUUUCCAUUUAUGCUUUUGAAAAAGAAUUUCUUACGUACGCCUGGAUUAGACUAAAGUUUAUAAUAAUUAGUGAAAUGAUGGAAUUUAUGAAAUAUGCUACAUCCUACGGGAUACAUAGGUAUGCUUAUGAUCUUUGAUGCCAUAAUUAUAUCUACGACUAUUAAUGUUAGUAUGUUGAUUAGAACUAUCGAAUCAUUGUGGCAUGCUUAUAUUUAUGUAGUAUGCUCAUCAUUGCUGCACCCCAGUGUUAGUGCUCGCCCAGGGCUAGGGCCAGUCUUUCACGUGUAUGUUCACCUCUGCACCGCGCGCUCGCCUUGGAUCCAAGUAGGUGCAAGUCAUGUCGUACAUGUUGCAUUAGGCAACUCCGACUCGUAGGUAACCGCGAAUAGCACCAGUCUUCACGUGAUUGUAGCAUUAGAGCGUAUAUUAUGAUUACACCCAGUCUUGUCGUACAGGUUGCAUUAGGUAACUCUAACUCGUGUGCUAGCAUAGAUUGAUGAGCAUCAAUUCAAUCGUACAGGUCGUAUUAGGCGACUCCAACUUGUGUGCUAGCAUAGAUUUAAAGACCUAAUUUUACUUAUAUUACUGUUGAGAUUUUGUGAUUUGGAUAUCCUGCCCUUAGUUACGAGAUAUUGUGCCGUGAUGAAUUCUUGAGAUUUUGUAGGCUACGGUAAGUAUUUUUAUACUAUACGUAGUAUGUAUAUUUUGGAAACUAUACUUGUUUUACGGCGAAGAGUUAUAACGCUUUCAAAACUGUUUUUAUAAAACUUUAUUUUUAGGCCUACUCACCCUUGUUUUUCGCCCCUACAGGUUUUAAUAGCUGAGCUUUCUUAUCGACGAUGAUUCGUGGCAAAUCUUGGUAUUGGAGAUUACCUUCGAUGGUAUGAUUCUCAAUCCACUCUACUAUACUUUACUUAUGCUCUGACAUCACAUGUGAAAUAGGUUCAUUCUCGCUCACAGCGCACUCUUACAUUUAGGCACUUUUCAGUUUAAAUUUAUUCACAUUUUCCACAUCACUAUACUUUAUGGCUUCAUCACCUUCCAAGUGUCGGCCAGCACAACUCGAUUCAGAGUCCUAGUAGACAUUCCAGGUCGGGGUGUGUCAAUGAGUAUUCAUCGCGCAAAGUUUUUAAAAAUAACAAAAU